CCUACGGGUGGCAGCAGUGAGGAAUAUUGGUCAAUGGACGAGAGUCUGAACCAGCCAAGUAGCGUGAAGGAUGACUGCCCUAUGGGUUGUAAACUUCUUUUAUCUGGGAAUAAAAUGUUCCACGUGUGGGAUUUUGUAUGUACCAUAUGAAUAAGGAUCGGCUAACUCCGUGCCAGCAGCCGCGGUAAUACGGAGGAUCCGAGCGUUAUCCGGAUUUAUUGGGUUUAAAGGGAGCGUAGGGCGAGUGUUAAGUUAGUUGUGAAAGUUUGCGGCUCAACCGUACAAUUGCAGUUGAAACUGGCAGUCUUGAGUGCAGUAGAGGUAGGCGGAAUUCGUGGUGUAGCGGUGAAAUGCUUAGAUAUCACGAAGAACUCCGAUUGCGAAGGCAGCCCACUGGAGUGCAACUGACGCUGAGGCUCGAAAGUGUGGGUAUCGAACAGGAUUAGAUACCCGAGUAGUC
RNAcentral lists this ribosomal RNA (460 nucleotides) under uncultured bacterium. RNAcentral describes it as "partial 16S ribosomal RNA". It matches the Rfam family "Bacterial small subunit ribosomal RNA", at positions 338 to 795 of the family's 1533-position model. The record is from RNAcentral.